RNAcentral lists this ribosomal RNA (250 nucleotides) under uncultured bacterium. RNAcentral's name for it is "partial 16S ribosomal RNA". It matches the Rfam family "Bacterial small subunit ribosomal RNA", at positions 524 to 773 of the family's 1533-position model. The record is from RNAcentral.
UACGAAGGGGGCUAGCGUUGCUCGGAAUUACUGGGCUUAAAGGGAGCGUAGGCGGUAUGCUAAGUCGCGGGUGGAAGUCUGGGGCUCAACCCCGGGAUGUCCUGCGAAACUGGUGUACUUGAGUUGUCCAGGGGAUGGCGGAAUUCCAGGUGUAGCGGUGAAAUGCGUAGAUAUCUGGAGGAAGGCCUGUGCCGAAGGGGGCCAUCUGGGGACACACUGACGCUGAGGCUCGAAAGCGUGGGUAGCAAAC